RNAcentral lists this long non-coding RNA (1181 nucleotides) under Sinocyclocheilus anshuiensis. RNAcentral's name for it is "lncRNA (ENSSANG00000020179.1)". The record is from RNAcentral. Lineage: Eukaryota; Metazoa; Chordata; Actinopteri; Cypriniformes; Cyprinidae.
GUGAAAAGGGUAUAUACACAGUGGUAACAAGACUAACAAGAUAACGAGGGGGUGGAGCUGGAAAUCAGGACACAAGAGGUUUAUCCAGGUUAACAUUAGAGAGGCCAUAAUCUGGUUUGCCUCCUGGAAAAAUUCAAGAAAUGGUUGACUGGAUGAAGGUACAUAAGUAUCCAGUCUCUGAAGUUGAAGGUUAUAUGAAGGACACAGCCAUAUACAGAGGCGAGUGGAUUCACAGCAAUGGGUCUAAAAGCAUUCCAGAAAUCUUGACGGAGUUCCCCAGACUUCUAGACAAUCCUGGCAUGAUUUCACAAGACUUUAGGAAGCUAUAUCCAGAGGCAGACAGAAAACUUUUUGAAGACUGGGCUACAAUUGCAGACCGAAUUCUUGCCUAUGCCCAGCGAGAUGGAAAGGUGCAUUUAGAGCUGGGUGACAUGACUCGAGAUGCUAAAGGGGAGAGUGCUUUCAAAGUCCUGCCCACUCUGCUUCCCCCAUCAAUAUACAAGAAAGGAGGAAAGGUCUUUAGACCCACAACCACGGAAUCCCGGAAGUCAUUCAUUGAUGUACAACCUGUGGGGACCAACAUGGUGGAAUAUUUGCAAAAUGCAGAGACCAGUGAUGUAUUCCUGCACAUUUUGUGCCUUGGGGACGAGGCAAUGACAUCCCAGACCUUCGCCAUUGUUUUGGGCCAUGCCAUUGCAACUGACUCGUUGCUUGAGGCUGUUGAUCUGUGUUUCAAGUCCUUUUUUGUGCUUGAUGUUAACUACACUAAGCAGUGUCUUCCUACCUGGGAAUUUCUCCAGCAUGCAGUAUAUCGUAUUGAUGGACAUGAGUCUUCAUGUGUGAAGUUUUUGAGGGCAACAGUUUUUUCUGGACACUUGUAACAUGUUUUAAGUUGUCACAUGUAUUGUCUGUUGUUUGGACUCUUUGUUUGGCUUAGUUUUAAUGGUACAAUGUUUGGACUGAUUCUCAUGUGGCAAUAAUCAAUUUUUGAGUGUUCUAAUGCUGCAAUGUUGAAUCUACAGUGCCUAGUUCACACAGUUUUGUGUUUUAAAGAAACUGAUCUACAAAAACUUGUUUUAUCUGUGUCUGUAGGUGUUGGAUGAAAUGUAUGACAAUUGCACCCAUUCAAAAAAUUGUUAAAAAGAAAUGUAAAAACUCAUUAAAUUAAUAUUUACAAUUGC